This is a long non-coding RNA of Ictalurus punctatus (channel catfish), 300 nucleotides long. The record is from Ensembl. NCBI's taxonomy places the organism in Eukaryota, Metazoa, Chordata, Actinopteri, Siluriformes, Ictaluridae.
GUGUGAUGGAGGUGUGUGAUGUGAUGGUGGUGUGUGAUGUGAUGGUGGUGUGAUGGAGGUGUGUGAUGUGAUGGUGGUGUGAUGGUGGUGUGUGAUGUGAUGGAGGUGUGUGAUGUGAUGGUGGUGUGUGAUGAUGGAGGUGUGUGAUGUGAUGUGGGGUGGUGUGUGAUGGUGGUGUGAUGGAGGUGUGUGAUGUGAUGGAGGUGUGUGAUGUGAUGGUGUGAUGGAGGUGUGAUGUGAUGGAGGUGUGUGAUGUGAUGGUGGUGUGAUGGAGGUGUGUGAUGUGAUGGAGGUGUGUGA